GGGGAUUUAGCUCAGUGGUAGAGCGUUUGCCUAGCAAGCACAAGUUCCUGGGUUUGGUCCCCAGCUCCA
This is a non-coding RNA of Rattus norvegicus (Norway rat), 69 nucleotides long. The record is from Rfam. NCBI's taxonomy places the organism in Eukaryota, Metazoa, Chordata, Mammalia, Rodentia, Muridae.